UGAUCCAGCCAUGCCGCGUGCAGGAAGACGGCCUUACGGGUUGUAAACUGCUUUUAUACGGGAAGAAUAAUACCCACGUGUGGGUAGAUGACGGUACCGUAAGAAUAAGGACCGGCUAACUCCGUGCCAGCAGCCGCGGUGAUACGGAGGGUCCGAGCGUUAUCCGGAAUUAUUGGGUUUAAAGGGUCCGCAGGCGGGUCAGUAAGUCAGGGGUGAAAGUUUGCGGCUUAACCGUAAAAUUGCCUUUGAUACUGCUGGUCUUGAGUUGCGGUGAAGUGGCUGGAAUAUGUGGUGUAGCGGUGAAAUGCAUAGAUAUCACAUAGAACACCGAUUGCGAAGGCAGGUCACUAACCGCCGACUGACGCUGAUGGACGAAAGCGUGGGGAGCGAACGGGAUUAGAUACCCCGGUAGUCCACGCCGUAAACGAUGGACACUAGCUGUCGGGCCGCUUUAGGUUCGGUGGCUAAGCGAAAGUGAUAAGUGUCCCACCUGGGGAGUACGUCGGCAACGAUGAAACUCAAAGGAAUUGACGGGGGCCCGCACAAGCGGUGGAGCAUGUGGUUUAAUUCGAUGAUACGCGAGGAACCUUACCAGGGCUUAAAUGUAGUGGGACAGGCUUAGAGAUAGGCUUUUCUUCGGACUCAUUACAAGGUGCUGCAUGGUUGUCGUCAGCUCGUGCCGUGAGGUGUCAGGUUAAGUCCUAUAACGAGCGCAACCCCUACCGUUAGUUGCCAGCGAGUAAAGUCGGGGACUCUAACGGAACUGCCGGUGCAAACCGCGAGGAAGGUGGGGAUGACGUCAAAUCAUCACGGCCCUUACGUCCUGGGCUACACACGUGCUACAAUGGCCGGUACAAUGAGCAGCCACGUCGCAAGGCGGAGCGAAUCUAUAAAACCGGUCACAGUUCGGAUCGGGGUCUGCAACCCGACCCCGUGAAGCUGGAAUCGCUAGUAAUCGGAUAUCAGCCAUGAUCCGGGAAUACGUUCCCGGGCCUUGUACACACCGCCCGUCA
RNAcentral lists this ribosomal RNA (1013 nucleotides) under uncultured organism. Its description in RNAcentral is "bacterial SSU rRNA". It matches the Rfam family "Bacterial small subunit ribosomal RNA", at positions 384 to 1399 of the family's 1533-position model. The record is from RNAcentral.